AAGUGAAUGAAGAAGUGUUCAGAGUUAGUGGUCAUCAUUGGUUUGAGUGGAGAAACAUGAAGAUUCAGUGGUUAUCAGUGGUUGUGAGUGAAGAAGUGUGUGAAGUGUCAGAGACAUUAGUGGUUUUCAAGGAUGUGAGUGCAGAAGUCAGAGGAGUUAGAGGCAUUUUUUGUGUGGAAAUUGACUUGUGAUACUCAAAGGAGUAGGGAUUAAUUUUCAAGGAAAGCAAGGAGAAUACUUGUUAGCAUCUUUGAAGAUUUCAAGGAGAAUGCACAUACUGAAGAAGUAAAUGAAGAGGCAAGGAAAGUGUGAGACCAGUCAAAUACAUCAGGAGGAUGUUAAUGAAAUCGAAAAUGGUGUGAUGAAAAUGCAAGUUUGAGUUGAGGACAAAGAGAUGUCACAACAUGAUUAAGUCAACUAGAAAAUGGUGGUAUCUUAGUAGUCUAUGAAAUAUGAGUAGAGGUUUUUUUCAAAAAGGGUAUAUACAUUUCAUGAAGAUCAUAGGAUGAUAAAAAGGAGUUUUGAUUGGGUGAAUUUUUUUUUGUGACGCUGUAAAAUGAUGAUAAGAAAUGGUGGUAGGAAGUAGGUAAACAGAUUAAUAAAAAUUGGAUAAGUAAAGAAGAAGUGCUUGGAAAGGAGGGCUUGCAAGAGGAGUAGCGAAGUAAAGAUAUAUCUGGGGAAAUCAAUAAGUAUAACUUUAGGGAGGAGAGAAACACUGCAAAAUUUAGAAACAAAAAUAAGCUUAACGAGAAAAGAUCGUAAAUAAUGUGCAGAA
Molecule: long non-coding RNA, 775 nt
Filed under: Brassica napus (rape)
Lineage: Eukaryota; Viridiplantae; Streptophyta; Magnoliopsida; Brassicales; Brassicaceae
Description: long non-coding RNA (BNAP_LNC006596)
Source: RNAcentral